GCUGGAAAUGGUGGUUUUCUGGAUCCUGCAAUAACAUUAAAAGUUCUUAAAUUUUUCAUGAAACUUGGAACAUGGAUAGAUGGCAAUAUGUACAUUAUGCACGUCAUUUCAUUUUGUUCCUACGUCAAAAAUUAUGGUUGUUAUGGCAACAAAUUAAAAAAAUAUUCUGACAAUGGUGAAAUUUUUGACAUUGGUGGAGCCGGUAGGGGACUUUUAUUGCUUGGAAAUAGUCUUGUUAUUACUAUUGUUUACUUUUUGAGCCUUUUACUGUUAAAAAUGCCCGCCAAUUUUGGACAGACACUGCUAUCUGCCUUGGCCUUCAACCCCGUCAAACAGAUCUACUCAGAAUAAUGCUACUUUGCCAUAUUUUUCCUGUUCGGAUAUCUUGCUGAGUUCAAGGUGGUGUCAAAAUGGGUCUAUAGCUCUGCCUGAACUGUUGUCCAAUUGGUUUACAAGUCCAGCUGAAGUGACAGGCCAUCAAAAACUGCACAGCAUGACUAAUCCGGAGACGGUCGUCUACACUCGCCCAGUUGUGUCGAGAGGAUCGGUGUCUUUGAAGAUUAAAUGGAAUUGAGCACCCGGGCCAGACUGACACUUUCCGGAGCCUGUCCGAGACGGAACUCGAGCGGAGGAAUCAUAGGUCCAGGUGUCACAGAAGACUUAAAGCUCAUGUCUGACAAUGACUUUUUAGCUCACCUGAGUGAUAGCUCGAGGUGAGCUAUUGUGAUCACUCAGCGUCCGGCGUCCGUCCGUCCGUCUGUAAACAAUUUGUAAACAUCUUCUUCUACUAAACCAUUGAGCCAAUUUCAACUAAAUUUCAUGUGGAGCAUCCCUAGGUCAUGGGACAAAAGAAUUGUUAAAAAAAAUUUGAUCACAUAACCAAGAUGGCCGCCAUGACCAUAUAUGGUAAAAACCUUAAAAAAUCUUCUUGUCAGAAACCGCUCAUCAGAUUUUCAAAAAAUUUCACAGGGAUGACCUUUGAGGGCUCCCCUGAAAAAGUUGUUCAAAGAAAUUUGAUUCGUCAAAAAACAUGGCCGCAGGAGCUCGUUGAACUUUGCAUGUUUAUUCGUUUUUGCCUAUUUUGUGAAAACUUUCAAAAAUCUUCCACAUUUUUUGUCCGAUCCUUUCCAAAUUUGCACAGUGUCUUUAUAUCAAUGAGGACACGAACCCUACAAAAAAUGAGCAUUAUUGGUCCAUGAAGUACAGAAUUACCUCCCCUUGAAUUGAGAAAAUGGUGUUUAUGCAAUAAAGUCCAAAUUAUUCAUCCAAUUCUUUCCAAACUUGUAAGGAUUUAGCAUGGUUCAAACAAGGGAAACAACUACGGUUUAUGCAUGUUUUUUUUAUUACAGAUUUGCCUCCCUUUAAUUCAUUCAAAAUCUCAUUUUACAGCAGAGAUUCCAAAUCUUACCUGUAAAUGAGCCCCAUAUUU
This is a long non-coding RNA of Dreissena polymorpha, 1429 nucleotides long. RefSeq lists it as uncharacterized. The transcript has 3 exons. Lineage: Eukaryota; Metazoa; Mollusca; Bivalvia; Myida; Dreissenidae. The record is from RefSeq and is a predicted model, not a curated record.